This 445-nucleotide ribosomal RNA is filed under the name uncultured bacterium. RNAcentral describes it as "partial 16S ribosomal RNA". It matches the Rfam family "Bacterial small subunit ribosomal RNA", at positions 354 to 796 of the family's 1533-position model. The record is from RNAcentral.
GUGAGGAAUAUUGGUCAAUGGGCGAGAGCCUGAACCAGCCAAGUAGCGUGAGGGAUGACUGCCCUAUGGGUUGUAAACCUCUUUUGCAGGGGGGUAAAGUGGUUCACGUGUGGACCAUUGCAAGUACCCUGCGAAUAAGGAUCGGCUAACUCCGUGCCAGCAGCCGCGGUAAUACGGAGGAUCCGAGCGUUAUCCGGAUUUAUUGGGUUUAAAGGGAGCGUAGGCGGGGGUUUAAGUCAGCUGUGAAAUGCCGUGGCCCAACCAUGGAACUGCAGUUGAAACUGGACCUCUUGAGAGUACAUAAGGAAGGCGGAAUUCGUGGUGUAGCGGUGAAAUGCAUAGAUAUCACGAAGAACUCCGAUUGCGAAGGCAGCUUUCCGGGGUACAUCUGACGCUGAAGCUCGAAAGUGCGGGAAUCAAACAGGAUUAGAAACCCCAGUAGUCC